RNAcentral lists this ribosomal RNA (637 nucleotides) under uncultured bacterium. RNAcentral's name for it is "bacterial SSU rRNA". It matches the Rfam family "Bacterial small subunit ribosomal RNA", at positions 607 to 1244 of the family's 1533-position model. The record is from RNAcentral.
GCUCAACCGGGGAGGGUCAUUGGAAACUGGGGAACUUGAGUGCGGAAGAGGAGAGUGGAAUUCCACGUGUAGCGGUGAAAUGCGUAGAGAUGUGGAGGAACACCAGUGGCGAAGGCGACUCUCUGGUCUGUAACUGACGCUGAGGCGCGAAAGCGCGGGGAGCGAACAGGAUUAGAUACCCUGGUAGUCCACGCCGUAAACGAUGAGUGCUAAGUGUUAGAGGGUUUCCGCCCUUUAGUGCUGCAGCAAACGCAUUAAGCACUCCGCCUGGGGAGUACGGUCGCAAGACUGAAACUCAAAGGAAUUGACGGGGGCCCGCACAAGCGGUGGAGCAUGUGGUUUAAUUCGAAGCAACGCGAGGAACCUUACCAGGUCUUGACAUCCUCUGGCAACCCUAGAGAUAGGGCUUCCCCUUCGGGGGCAGAGUGACAGGUGGUGCAUGGUUGUCGUCAGCUCGUGUCGUGAGAUGUUGGGUUAAGUCCCGCAACGAGCGCAACCCUUGACCUUAGUUGCCAGCAUUCAGUUGGGCACUCUAAGGUGACUGCCGGUGACAAACCGGAGGAAGGUGGGGAUGACGUCAAAUCAUCAUGCCCCUUAUGACCUGGGCUACACACGUGCUACAAUGGGCAGAACAAAG